UCAAGGUAACUGAAUGAUGUUUAGACCCUCUGUGACUCUUGGCUGGAGCAUAUUUAUCAGAAGAAGAUAAAGUUUAGUGAAGGAGGAGCUAAACAAUUGGCUUUGGAUUUCUCAUUUCUGAGAAAAUGGAUUGAUGAUAGUACACAUUUAAGAGAAGAAUCAAAAAGGUACCUACUACUACUGGACUCUAUCCGGCAAUGUGAGGGAGUAGCUCAGCUGCUGCAGAAGAGUAGUGGGAAGGAGGUUCCUGUUAAACCUAAUAAAGGGAAUAAGAUUGCUCCAGAAGAUGAGGUGGUGGAAGACGACUCACCUGUUGCUCAUAUCUUAGAGGUAA
Long non-coding RNA from Eurytemora carolleeae, 334 nucleotides. RefSeq lists it as uncharacterized. The record is from RefSeq and is a predicted model, not a curated record. The transcript is spliced from 4 exons. NCBI's taxonomy places the organism in Eukaryota, Metazoa, Arthropoda, Copepoda, Calanoida, Temoridae.